GUAAGGAUCUUUUUCUGGAGGCCUCCCCUUAGUGAAGUUUUUCUCCAUGAAUCUGGACUUUUCUGAAAUGGUUUGCAGCAGUAGAGGACCAAUGGUGGAUCUCUUUAAGUAUGGAAAAUUGAAGAUCUUUCAGGGUGUGAACAGUUAAAUUGGAGAUGUUCAAGCAACCUUGACUUCAAAACAAAGCUGUGGUAGAUGAGGCUGCUGCUGAGCUCCGGAAGUACAGAAAACCACAUCUGCAGGGGAUUCAUUUUCAGCCCUAAAACCUGGAGAAAUGAAGUAAAGUUUACUACUGAACUAGAAUGAUAUUUUUUUUUUACCUGCCUGAAGCAAAGAUGUAAGAUUUGGAUUUACUCUGAACCACUAAUUCUCCAUUUCUACCAGUGCUUCAAAGAGUUAUCAUUCAUUUUGUACCACUUUUUACAUCUCCAUUGCCCUUCUUUAAGUUUGCUCUUCUCUGUGUGUCUGACCUCUGGUAGGGAUGGGGACGUUUAAAGAUCCACUGAUCCGUUGAGAGUAAAGACUAGGACUUCAAAAAAGAUGAAUGUGUAUUUACACAUUGGGUUUACUUUUGUCACUGAAACUUGAAUAUGUUUUUAAAAAUGGGGCAGGGUUUGUUCGAAGUAUGGUAACUUUUCUUAUGUCUUUAAGUAUACAUUUGUGGUUGAACGAAGAUGAAGAUUCCUAAUUCACAGUAUUUCCAAUUUAAACUACAGUAUUAAUACAAACAUUAAAGGAGUGUUAUGAUUAUCUCCUUGCAUGAGAGUAUGGCAAUGUAUUUGAAUAUAAAAUAGCAAAGGUUGUAAUAUCCCACUUUCUUCUGCUAAACCACUUCAUACAGUUGUGCAUUAACAGGAAAAUGUUUGAGAGACGAGAUGAUUUAAGAUGAGGUUAAAUGAAUUAAAGUCUUAUGGAUAUUAUGAAAAUUAUGGGCUUCAUAUGUCUUACAUAUUUUAGUAAUACCUCCAGAUCAGCGGACUUGCAUGUUCUUGUCUUUGUAUGUAAUUCUGUUGUGAUUGAAGUAAAAUGGUGUGUGAUACUCUAAGGAUCAUAGCCUCAACUAAUAAAUAUGGAAACAGUGUAAACUUUCUGUUAAAGGAAUUAGACAUGUAACAGCAAUUGCCCUGUCUCUUAGAAUGUUCCCCUGAAAUCCCAUCUGAGAUGCUCUCUGGGCAGAUGUCUUUGCUCGCAGUGUCUAAAGUAACACUAGAUAUCAAUAUUUAAGCACAGAAUUGCUUUCAUUGUUUAUUGCUUGGUUGCUUCUUGCGUCUUACAGGAGUAGAAAAAUCUCAGAUAUAAUUAGA
Lagopus leucura (white-tailed ptarmigan) is the source of this 1304-nucleotide long non-coding RNA. RefSeq lists it as uncharacterized. Lineage: Eukaryota; Metazoa; Chordata; Aves; Galliformes; Phasianidae. The record is from RefSeq and is a predicted model, not a curated record. The transcript has 3 exons.